GGUGUGUUAGUUAGAGGAAGAUCGUUAAUGAUAAUAUACGCGGUCGUACCGUCGCCGGGGGUGAUGACAUCUCUCCGCACUCCCAUCCUGGUCGCUUUGAAUGCUCUGAUAGCGGCACGCUGGACGUAGUGACGUCGGGGAUCCGGGGCAGCGCGCGCCGCGCCCUUGCUCGCCUUCCAUUGGCUGCCGAGCCGACCCCGCCCACUGAAGAGUUCUAAACACCAAACAGAGCCGCUCGUUCCACACUCCGAGCUCACUAAACCAGACAAGCUUUUUAAAUGGGAUCCACAGCAGCGGCCCUUCAUACACCGUCUAAAAACUGUCUCGAGUUCGUUGGUCCGUCUCCACCAAGAUGUCGCCGAC
Pelobates cultripes (western spadefoot toad) is the source of this 363-nucleotide non-coding RNA. Lineage: Eukaryota; Metazoa; Chordata; Amphibia; Anura; Pelobatidae. The record is from the annotation of a GenBank genome assembly.